Molecule: long non-coding RNA, 943 nt
Filed under: Coturnix japonica (Japanese quail)
Lineage: Eukaryota; Metazoa; Chordata; Aves; Galliformes; Phasianidae
Description: lncRNA (ENSCJPG00005015754.1)
Source: RNAcentral
CCUUUUUAUAUUCAAAAGCAAACAGAUUGGUUGGGUUUUGCUUAUAUUUCUUUAUUUUAUUUUAUUUCUACUUUUCUAAAAUUUAUUUAUUUAUUUAUUUAUUUGUUUUACUCUAAAGUAUUCUUAUUUAAAGUAUUCUUAUUUUCUGUUAACUUAGAAAGCUCUGAGGGGACGUUUGUCCCUGGAGAUUUCUGAGAAAUAUGUAGAUGUGGUACUUAGGGACAUGUUUAGUGGUCAGUGUUGAUAGAAGGUGGAUGGUUGGACUAGAUUAUCUUUGAGAUCUUUUCCAACAUUCAUGAUUCUAUGUUGAGCUCCACAAAAAGGGCUGUUUGGAGCAGCCUCAUCUUGCCUCUCAUGGGAAGAUGCCCCUCCUGAGACCUUGUAGUGGAUAUGCCAAGUAAUGGCCUGAAACAGUAAUUGAGCACCUGCUGGUAGGCAGGACCAAUCUGUGGGAGCUCAGGUGCAUGUAGUGCCCCUGAACGAAUGACCAGAUGGGGUGGAUCCUGUCUCCUCCCCUUCCCAGACCUCAUCUAUGGGUUUGCAGUGGAGUUGAAAUCAUCUAGCUGAAAUUUCCUGCCUACCUGAAGUCUUCCAAAGGUAAGUGGCUCCUUUACUUCAUUUUUGUGUCCUUGUUUGCUGCAGCCAAGUACUUUGUUACCUUGCUCUACUUUCCAUCACAUUAUGACAUUACAGCCCCUGAUGUCACAAUACUGGUACCUCUACAGUGUGCCAUGGUGCCAGAACAGUGCACAGAAGUGGAUCCAGUAUGCUCAGUGAAGAGCCAUUAUUAGCUGUGGGGAAAAAAAGACUCAAGCAAGCAUUUCAAGUGCUUGGUUGCUGUGUAUGUAUGUGUGUAUGUAUGAAAACAAACCAAAGAUGUGUUUCUGCAUUGGAUUCACUGCUCUCCAGGGAACUGUUGAAGUAUGCAUCAUUGUUUCAAUGA